AGUGAACGCUGGCGGCAGGCCUAACACAUGCAAGUCGAGCGGAUGAAGGGAGCUUGCUCCUGGAUUCAGCGGCGGACGGGUGAGUAAUGCCUAGGAAUCUGCCUGGUAGUGGGGGAUAACGUCCGGAAACGGGCGCUAAUACCGCAUACGUCCUGAGGGAGAAAGUGGGGGAUCUUCGGACCUCACGCUAUCAGAUGAGCCUAGGUCGGAUUAGCUAGUUGGUGGGGUAAAGGCCUACCAAGGCGACGAUCCGUAACUGGUCUGAGAGGAUGAUCAGUCACACUGGAACUGAGACACGGUCCAGACUCCUACGGGAGGCAGCAGUGGGGAAUAUUGGACAAUGGGCGCAAGCCUGAUCCAGCCAUGCCGCGUGUGUGAAGAAGGUCUUCGGAUUGUAAAGCACUUUAAGUUGGGAGGAAGGGCAGUAAGUUAAUACCUUGCUGUUUUGACGUUACCAACAGAAUAAGCACCGGCUAACUUCGUG
RNAcentral lists this ribosomal RNA (484 nucleotides) under uncultured bacterium. RNAcentral describes it as "partial 16S ribosomal RNA". It matches the Rfam family "Bacterial small subunit ribosomal RNA", at positions 29 to 507 of the family's 1533-position model. The record is from RNAcentral.